GGCCGCGCACGUCCGUAGCGCCAUACAUCAUUGUAACCGUACGAUGAGUUCUGCGUUGUUGGGCAUCUGGAAGGCCACCUUGGAGGACGCUUACCCGAAGAUCGGAGACUGAAUGUCCUUGAUCGCUGAAUUGUUCCCUGACUAUGAGAGAUGCCUGGCUUUUUUUGGAAUGAAAAUUAACUUGGAGUAGCGGUGACAUCAGCUGAGGGCCAAAGCAAAGCAAGCUAGAGGCCCGAGUGAAAUGGGGACAGCCAGUGUGCCCAGAGCAGAAUGGGGACAUUUGUUGGACGGAUGUGAGUGGUCAGCAGCUUGUAAGUCCAGUCAGACCACACGUGGAAGUCCCCUGCAUUAAUCUACUGAAGGCCCUUUAUGGAAAGAUUGCAUUGUUUAUCUUAUUAACUUUAUUUUAUAUAACUUAUACCAAGAAUAACUGUAAGGUAAUGUUACAUUUUUUUUCUUUAUUUCUCUGUUUUGUAUCUAAGAUUUGUACUGAGGUACUUUGUGCCUAAGAUGGUACAACAUGGAGCAACAAUGUAAACUUUUCACCGUACUCCUGUACUUCUGUACUUGAGUAGAUGUGACAAUA
Non-coding RNA from Chiloscyllium plagiosum (whitespotted bambooshark), 586 nucleotides. The record is from RefSeq and is a predicted model, not a curated record. Lineage: Eukaryota; Metazoa; Chordata; Chondrichthyes; Orectolobiformes; Hemiscylliidae.